CAAAAUAUAAUUUAAAAUAAAAUAUUAAUUUUGGAUAUUAAUAAUAUACUUAUUGUGUUAUUUUGA
Molecule: transfer RNA, 66 nt
Filed under: Exallonyx sp. ZJUH_2016014
Lineage: Eukaryota; Metazoa; Arthropoda; Insecta; Hymenoptera; Proctotrupidae
Description: tRNA-Pro
Source: RNAcentral